This 253-nucleotide ribosomal RNA is filed under the name uncultured bacterium. RNAcentral's name for it is "partial 16S ribosomal RNA". It matches the Rfam family "Bacterial small subunit ribosomal RNA", at positions 524 to 776 of the family's 1533-position model. The record is from RNAcentral.
UACAGAGGUGCCAAGCGUUGUUCGGAUUCAUUGGGCGUAAAGGGUGCGUAGGUGGCGCUGUAAGUCGGGUGUGAAAUUUCGGAGCUUAACUCCGAAACUGCAUUCGAUACUGCGGUGCUUGAGGACUGGAGAGGAGACUGGAAUUCAUGGUGUAGCAGUGAAAUGCGUAGAGAUCAUGAGGAAGACCAGUGGCGAAGGCGGGUCUCUGGACAGUUCCUGACACUGAGGCACGAAGGCCAGGGGAGCAAACGGG